UCGCAUCGUUAGGGGUGCCUAAAACGGCUGAGAUUAUACCCUAUGAACCUGAAUUGUUUAAUUACAGCGGAGGGAAACGAGGAUUGUCAAUA
This 92-nucleotide non-coding RNA is filed under the name Roseivirga spongicola. RNAcentral's name for it is "TPP sequence". It matches the Rfam family "TPP riboswitch aptamer (THI element)". From Rfam's summary of the family: Vitamin B(1) in its active form thiamin pyrophosphate (TPP) is an essential coenzyme that is synthesised by coupling of pyrimidine and thiazole moieties in bacteria. The previously detected thiamin-regulatory element, thi box was extended, resulting in a new, highly conserved RNA secondary structure, the THI element, which is widely distributed in eubacteria and also occurs in some archaea. Analysis of operon structures identified a large number of new candidate thiamin-regulated genes, mostly transporters, in various prokaryotic organisms. Lineage: Bacteria; Pseudomonadati; Bacteroidota; Cytophagia; Cytophagales; Roseivirgaceae. The record is from Rfam by way of RNAcentral.